AUGAUCCGGGAUUUCUGGUGGGGGGAUGAAACGGGCCGCCGCAAAGUUCACUGGAUGUCAUGGGAGCGUAUGACGAGGCCAAAGAGAGCGGGUGGUAUUGGUUUUAGAGACAUGCACGUGUUCAAUUUAGCCCUUCUUGCCAAACAAGGGUGGAGGCUGAUUCAGAACCCGGAGAGUCUAUGUGCCCGGGUGCUCAAGUCUAAAUAUUACCCAAACGGCAACCUGUUGAACACCGUCUUUGCGUCGGAUGCGUCGCCUGUGUGGAGAGGUAUUGAAGCAGGGCUGGAGUUGCUGAAAAAGGGCGUCAUCUGGAGAGUGGGCAAUGGAAGAGAUAUUCAGAUCCAACGGGACCAGUGGUUACCAAGGAAAGAGGGUCUGAUGACCGCGGCAUUCAUAAGAAGAUCACGUCUUCGGUGGGUGAACCAACUUGCUGCCUGA
This 438-nucleotide ribosomal RNA is filed under the name Triticum aestivum (bread wheat). RNAcentral's name for it is "partial small subunit ribosomal RNA". The record is from RNAcentral. Lineage: Eukaryota; Viridiplantae; Streptophyta; Magnoliopsida; Poales; Poaceae.